AGCUCCAAUAGCGUAUAUUAAAGUUGUUGCGGUUAAAAAGCUCGUAGUUGGAUCUCGGCGGGCAGGGGGUGGUUCGCUCUUCCGCGCUACUGCCCCGCUUUUCCCGUUUUAUUGGCGGAGGUUUCGGGGUGCUCUUCUUUUUGUGACUCGGAGCGCCGUCAGGUUUACUUUGAAAAAAUUAGAGUGCUCAAAGCAGGCUUUUCACGCUUGAAUAUUCGUGCAUGGAAUAAUGGAAUAGGAACUCGUUUCUAUUUUGUUGGUUUUCGGAAAUCGAGGUAAUGAUUAACAGGGACAAUUGGGGGCAUUAGUAUUCAGACGACAGAGGUGAAAUUCUUGGACCGUCUGAAGACGGACUACUGCGAAAGCAUUUGCCAAGAGUGUUUUCA
RNAcentral lists this ribosomal RNA (386 nucleotides) under marine copepod environmental sample. RNAcentral describes it as "SSU rRNA". It matches the Rfam family "Eukaryotic small subunit ribosomal RNA", at positions 587 to 972 of the family's 1831-position model. Lineage: Eukaryota; Metazoa; Arthropoda; Copepoda. The record is from RNAcentral.